Molecule: long non-coding RNA, 1193 nt
Organism: Oncorhynchus kisutch (coho salmon)
Lineage: Eukaryota; Metazoa; Chordata; Actinopteri; Salmoniformes; Salmonidae
Exons: 4
Source: RefSeq, a predicted model, not a curated record
ACCUUUUGCUUUGACAGCAGUUAGGAGAAGCAGCCAGCAGCGAAAGAAGCAGUCCGCAACCAUUCACGAGAUAUUAUUGUUGGGUUAUACAGAUUGGAUAUUUACACCAUUUUAUGGAAUCGUUUCAAUUUCGUUUGGCGAGCGUUGGCGCAAUUUUAAACACCUUUCAUGAAAUGUCACAGCAUGUCUUUGAAUAUUUUCAAUCACAUAUCUUCCUUGGCUUCGUGAAAGUAAUUUAGAUAGAAAGAACACAGACGAUAAUUUUCACAAGACAUUUGCGCUUAUUCUUUCAAGCAGGAUGGUGUCAUACAGUUUCAUAUUCACUUUGGUUAUUGCUGUGGCAUGGGAAGUUAUCGGUGAACCACAAACUCUACCUUCACCCUCAACGCAGCUAAAUUCAACAUCAUCCAUUCAUGGAGGGGAUUUGUCAAAUAACGACACAGAUAAGACCGAAUCAAGAAUGUCUUCAAUGUUACAAUAUCUUCCUACUCUUAAAAAUACUGUAAUUAUUAUUUGCGCGCUAACAGCUGUUCUCAUCACGUGCUUGGUAAUCAAAGUGAUCAGAUCUGGACGGAGAAUCAGGAAAACACGAAAGUAUGACAUAAUCACGACACCAGCAGAGCGAGUAGAAAUGGCUCCUUUGAAUGAGGAGAAUGAUGAUGAAGAGGACUCCACCCUCUUUGAUGUCAAGUACAGAUGUAACUCUGUGUAACGGGUGUCGUCUUCUGAAGAGGAGGAAUCGGACCAAAGGGCAGCGUGGUGAAUGCCAGAGGAUGUUGGAUUUUGAACCCUCCCAUUUUCUCCAGUGGAAACACAACCCAAGGAUAUGUUUUGUAAAGCUGUUCCCUGAUGUAUUCAGUGUUUGGUAACUUCUGUCAAGUCUAGUCAAGUUACCCAUCUCACCCAAUAUUUUCAGAAGAGGUACCUCGGUUGGCUUGUUUUCUAGAAUGUAUUCUGAUUGUGAACAUGCUGUAUUUACAAUAAUUUUGUACACAUCAUACACUUCUAAUGCAGAAGACUCAUCUUCAGAGGGAUACUGCGCCCAGCUAGCUCAGUAAAUGCAUAUCCUCUUUAAGCUAAAACUAAAUACAUAGAGAACAUUUGAUGGCUUCUGCGUAAAGGCAAUCCUCUGGCUGUCCUCUAAUGCUUAUGGUAUAUUAUUCACUGUAAUAUUAGAUGCAUUCCUCAGAUUA